UACAGAGGUCUCGAGCGUUAGGCGGAAUCACUUGGCUUAAAGCGUGUGUAGGCGGGUCGUUAAGUGCCUUGUGAAAUCCCAUGGCUCAACCAUGGAACUGCUGGGCAUACUGGCGAUCUUGUGCAACCUAGGGGCGAGCGGAACAGAUGGUGGAGCGGUGAAAUGCGUAGAUAUCAUCUGGAACGCCAAUGGUGAAAACAGCUCGCUGGGGGUUUGCAGACGCUGAGACACGAAAGCCAGGGGAGCGAACGGG
RNAcentral lists this ribosomal RNA (253 nucleotides) under uncultured bacterium. RNAcentral describes it as "partial 16S ribosomal RNA". It matches the Rfam family "Bacterial small subunit ribosomal RNA", at positions 524 to 776 of the family's 1533-position model. The record is from RNAcentral.